Pelobates cultripes (western spadefoot toad) is the source of this 776-nucleotide non-coding RNA. NCBI's taxonomy places the organism in Eukaryota, Metazoa, Chordata, Amphibia, Anura, Pelobatidae. The record is from the annotation of a GenBank genome assembly.
CGAUGAUGAUCUUUAACAAAAUGUCAUAAUGUAAUUGAUAAUCUUGUACUUUAUUGCUGGAUAUUCUGUGGGUAAGAACUUACUGUGCUUUGGCUUUGCUAUACAGCACUCCAAUAGCAAACUGUGUGGGUCAUUUUAUUUUAGAGUAGGACCUUUAUAGAACAGAUUGCUUUGAUGACCUAUGUUUUUUUUUUAUCCUUUAUGGUUGAAUGGAACACUCCAAGCGCCAUAACAAUAGCUACAGGCACCUAUCAUUGUAGUGAUAAUGGUGCUAGGAGUGCCAUUACACCCUCCCAGAGUAAAUGGUCAAAGAAUGGUUUGACAAAUUAUGUGGCAGAUAAUGGAAGUUCCUUGCAGGAGCUUCCAACACCACGUGGCGUGAAGAUAGACUCUAUGUCCGCGUUCAGUGAGGGCAUCCUGGCACUGCCGAGUUUAGUUAAGUGGCAGAACUUCUGGCAGCAGAGGGGGCGGGUUCUGGUGUCCAACAAAACCCAGGAAAUAUGUAAAAUCAUUCGUAAACCAUUUGACUAUAUACUCUGAAAGGGCUUUAGGGCACAUAUUUCACCAUAACAACUACUGAAGGCUGUAGUGAUUAUGGUGCUUGGAAUACUUCUUUAAAUGGGCUACACAGUGAGCACAUCCUGAGUUUAAAGUUACCCACCAAUACCCAGCUAGUAGCCUCACAGAAAGUGUUAUACCAAAUGUGUUAAUCAGAUUCUCAAGGUGUCCAUAUUUUUAUUUUUUCAUGUGAGUACAUAUUUUGUUUGUAUAUGCGU